RNAcentral lists this non-coding RNA (24 nucleotides) under Arabidopsis thaliana (thale cress). Lineage: Eukaryota; Viridiplantae; Streptophyta; Magnoliopsida; Brassicales; Brassicaceae. The record is from RNAcentral.
ACCGGGUCAAUCCACUGUCGUGAC